GGAAUCCCAUGACUCCGGGCUGACCUCUGGACCCAGCGGGUCCGGCUCCGCCAGAGCGACCAUCUUGUCCGGGGGCACCCUAGAGAAGACGGCAUGAGGAUGAGAGGUUAGGCAGAGCUCAGCCUUCAUCUCGCAGGUUUUAGCCCAUGAGGGACACCGUGAGAAGUGCAGUUUGUUUUGUUUUAAUAUAUAUUUUCUGCAAGGAAAUCGGUUCGCUCGAUGGAAAAUGGAGGAACAGGAACUUACAGAGGGUCCAGUUUUGCCGUCGGGUCCAGGGCUGCCUGGGCUACCAGUCACUCCCUGGGAGGAGGAAACAAAACAAAAGACCCGUUGGAAACCUUUCACAACAACAAAACACCUCGUAUGUUUCUGCAGCUCAAUAGAUGAGGACUUCGGUAGUUGAGGUGUGAAACCCACCUUGGAUCCGGUCACACCGGGCUCACCGGGGCGGCCAGACUCUCCAGUUGCUCCUUGGGGUCCCAGGGGUCCGUUGGAUCCACGCUCACCAGGGGCUCCCUGUCAAUCAACCACACAGUCAGCUAGGGCUAGGACCACAGUCAGGUAGGGCUAGGACCACAGUCAGGUAGGGCUAGGACCACAGUCAGGUAGGGCUAGGACCACAGUCAGGUAGGGCUAGGACCACAGUCAGGUAGGGCUAGGACCACAGUCAGGUAGGGCUAGGCAUUACAGUCAGGUAGGGCUAGGCAUUACAGUCAGGUAGGGCUAGGCAUUACAGUCAGGUAGGGCCAGGCAUUACAGUCAGGUAGGGCUAGGCAUUACAGUCAGGUAGGGCCAGGCAUUACAGUCAGGUAGGGCCAGGCAUUACAGUCAGGUAGGGCUAGGCAUUACAGUCAGGUAGGGCUAGGACCACAGUCAGGUAGGGCUAGCUAUUACAGGUCCUUGUAGGGCUAGGGAUCACAUUCAGGUAGGACUAGGUAUUACAGUCAGGGAGGGCUAGUUGUUACAGUUCAAGUUUGAACAUGAUGUUGAUGAAGGCUAAUCUUAUUUAUUUUUUUACUUUUUAAACUACUAAGAGAGUGACUCAGGAGCAGUUAUGGGAUGUGCGUGGUUAUCAGGUCGAGGAUUGAGGCCCUCUAGCUGUUAAUGAUCACAAUGAACGUCCUUGUGUUUGAAAGGUGCUGUAUGAAUACACUUGCCAUGCCUAUGCAUGACCAUACAACCCUGGCAAUGAAGGUCAAGGGCAUUUUGGGUCACUGAGAAGUGCUCUAGCACUGUUCACAUUUCAAAUGCUAUGAUGAUAUUUAGCUUUUAUCCAAAGCAUCUUUGUAAGGGUGCCCUAAUGCAGAAGUAAGGGUGAUUAUAGGUAGGUACCCUGGGGAUGUAAAGUAUUGAUCCUCGGGCUCAGGGCCUAACUGGACAACCUUUCCGCAAUGCUAACGCAAUGUUUCCAGAUCAUAUAAUUACAAUAAUA
Gadus macrocephalus (Pacific cod) is the source of this 1432-nucleotide long non-coding RNA. RefSeq lists it as uncharacterized. The transcript is spliced from 2 exons. Lineage: Eukaryota; Metazoa; Chordata; Actinopteri; Gadiformes; Gadidae. The record is from RefSeq and is a predicted model, not a curated record.